UUUCGAAUCAUUCACAAUGGGCGAAAGCCUGAUGGUGCGACGCCGCGUGAGGGAUGAAGGUCUUCGGAUUGUAAACCUCUGUCACUGGGGAAGAAACGCUUUGAGUUAAUAGUUCAAAGCCUGACUUAACCCGGAGAGGAAGCAGUGGCUAACUCUGUGCCAGCAGCCGCGGUAAUACAGAGACUGCAAGCGUUAUUCGGAUUCACUGGGCGUAAAGGGUGCGCAGGCGGCCGUGUGUGUGAGGUGUGAAAUCCCGGAGCUUAACUCCGGAACUGCGCCUCAAACUACACGGCUAGAGCAUUGGAGAGGGAAGUGGAAUUCACGGUGUAGCAGUGAAAUGCGUAGAUAUCGUGAGGAACACCAGUGGCGAAGGCGACUUCCUGGACAAUUGCUGACGCUCAG
RNAcentral lists this ribosomal RNA (402 nucleotides) under uncultured bacterium. RNAcentral's name for it is "bacterial SSU rRNA". It matches the Rfam family "Bacterial small subunit ribosomal RNA", at positions 355 to 750 of the family's 1533-position model. The record is from RNAcentral.